ACUAUGCUUGGCCCUAAACCUCAGUAGUUAGAUAACAAAACUACUCGCCAGAAUACUACAAGCUAUAGCUUAAAACUCAAAGGACUUGACGGUGCUUUACACCCCCUAGAGGAGCCUGUUCCGUAAUCGAUAAACCCCGAUCCACCCCACCCUCUCUUGCUCAGCCUAUAUACCGCCAUCUUCAGCAAACCCUAAUGAGGGUCACAAAGUGAGCGCAAAUGCCAUUGCCGCAAACACGUUAGGUCAAGGUGUAGCCUAUGAGACGGUAAAAAAUGGGCUACAUUUUCUACCUCAGAAAAUUCCACGAAAACCCUUAUGAAAUUUAAGGGUCCAAGGAGGAUUUAGCAGUAAAUUAAGAAUAGAGUGCUUAAUUGAACCAGGCCAUAAAGCGCGCACACACCGCCCGUCACUCCUCUCAAAUAUAUUUAAGGAACAUCUUAACUAAACGCCCUAAUAUUUAUAUAGAGAGGAUAAGUCGUAACAUGGUAAGCGUACUGGAAGGUGCGCUUGGAUAAAU
Molecule: ribosomal RNA, 517 nt
Filed under: Macaca mulatta (Rhesus monkey)
Lineage: Eukaryota; Metazoa; Chordata; Mammalia; Primates; Cercopithecidae
Description: partial 12S ribosomal RNA
Rfam family: Bacterial small subunit ribosomal RNA
Source: RNAcentral